GAGUUUGAUCAUGGCUCAGAACGUACGCUGGCGGCACGCCUAACACAUGCAAGUCGAACGCAGUAGCAAUACUGAGUGGCAAACGGGUGAGUAUAAUGUGGGAAUCUGCCUUUUGGUUUGGAAUAACACGAGGAAACUUGUGCUAAUACCGGAUAAGCCCUUACGGGGAAAGUUUUAACGCCAAAAGAUGAGCCCGCACUUGAUUAGCUAGUUGGUGAGGUAAUUGCUCACCAAGGCAACGAUCAAUAGCUGUUCUUAGAGGAAGACCAGCCACAUUGGGACUGAGACACGGCCCAAACUCCUACGGGAGGCAGCAGUGGGGAAUCUUGCACAAUGGGGGAAACCCUGAUGCAGCGAUGCCGCGUGAGUGAAGAAGGCCUUUGGGUUGUAAAACCCUUUCGUCGGGGAAGAAAAUGACUGUACCCGAAUAAGAAGGUCCGGCUAACUUCGUGCAGCAGCCGCGGUAAUACGAAGGGACCUAGCGUAGUUCGGAAUUACUGGGCUUAAAGAGUUCGUAGGUGGUUGAAAAAGUUAGUGGUGAAAUCCCAGAGCUUAACUCUGGAACUGCCAUUAAAACUUUUCAGCUAGAGUAUGAUAGAGGAAAGCAGAAUUUCUAGUGUAGAGGUGAAAUUCGUAGAUAUUAGAAAGAAUACCAAUUGCGAAGGCAGCUUUCUGGAUCAUUACUGACACUGAGGAACGAAAGCAUGGGUAGCGAAGAGGAUUAGAUACCCUCGUAGUCCAUGCCGUAAACGAUGUGUGUUAGACGUUGGAAAUUUAUUUUCAGUGUCGCAGGGAAACCGAUAAACACACCGCCUGGGGAGUACGACCGCAAGGUUAAAACUCAAAUGAAUUGACGGGGACCCGCACAAGUAGUGGAGCAUGUGGUUUAAUUCGAAGAUACGCGCAGAACCUUACCAACACUUGACAUGUUCGUCGCGACUUUAAGAGAUUAAAGUUUUCGGUUCGGCCGGACGAAACACAGGUGCUGCAUGGCUGUCGUCAGCUCGUGUCGUGAGAUGUUGGGUUAAGUCCCGCAACGAGCGCAACCCUCACUUUUAGUUGCCAUCAUUAAGUUGGGCACUCUGAAAGAACUGCCAGUGAUAAGCUGGAGGAAGGUGGGGAUGACGUCAAGUCCUCAUGGCCCUUACGUGUUGGGCUACACACGUGCUACAAUGGUAUCUACAACAGGAAGCAAGACUGCGAAGUUAAGCAAAUCCCUAAAAGAUACCUCAGUUCGGAUUGCACUCUGCAACUCGAGUGCAUGAAGCUGGAAUUACUAGUAAUCGUGGAUCAGCGUGCCACGGUGAAUGCGUUCCCGGGUCUUGUACACACCGCCCGUCACACCAUGGGAGUUGGUUCUACCUUAAGGCAAGGUUUUAAACCCUUGACCACGGUAUAGUCAGCGACUGGGGUGAAGUCGUAACAAGGUAACC
RNAcentral lists this ribosomal RNA (1433 nucleotides) under uncultured marine bacterium. Its description in RNAcentral is "partial 16S ribosomal RNA". It matches the Rfam family "Bacterial small subunit ribosomal RNA". The record is from RNAcentral.